This 2030-nucleotide long non-coding RNA is filed under the name Homo sapiens (human). RNAcentral describes it as "non-protein coding lnc-MSRA-1:2". The record is from RNAcentral. Lineage: Eukaryota; Metazoa; Chordata; Mammalia; Primates; Hominidae.
UGUAAUCCCAGCUACUCAGGAGGCUGAAGCACAAAAAUCGCUUGAACCCGGGAGGUGGAGCUUGCAGUGAGCUGAGAUUGCACCACUGCACUCCAGCCUGGGUGACAGAGUGAGACCCUGUCUCAAAAAAAAAAAAAUGUAAUUUACACAAAAAACUACACACAAAGUAUAUAAUUUGAUAACUUUUUGACAUACAUAUAUAGCCAUGAAAUCAUAGCUACAGUCAAGAUAACAAAUGUAUCCACCACCCCAAAAAUAUCCUCACACCUCUUAUUCCUGGGCCUGCUUCCCCUACUCCAUAUUCAGGACGCAGUCCUAAGGCAAUCCGCUUUCUGCCAUUAAAGACUAGUUUGCAUUUCUGAAAUUGGACUCAGCAUUUACUCUUCCAUCAUCUGGCUUCCUACUCAACGUAAGUAUUUUGAGAUUCAUCCAUGUUGCUGCAUGUCUCAUUGGUUCAUUCCUCUUCAUUGCUAAGUAGUAUUCCAUCGCAUGGAUGUACCACAGUGGGUUUAUCCAUUUAUCUGCUGACGGACAUUUGGGUUCUUUUCAGUUUGUGAUUAUAACACAUAAACGUGCUAUGGAGUUCAUGUUUUAAUCUUUGUAUGAACACAUGAUUUCAUUUCUCCUGGGUAUAUACCCAGCUGUCAAAUGCCUAGGUCAUAUGAUAGGUGCAUGUUUAACUAUUUAAGAAACUGCCAGACUGUUUUCCAAAGUGAUUGUAACAUUUUACGUUGUUACCACCAGCAGCUAUGAGAGUUCCAGGUGUGCUGCGUCAUCCUGGAUGCUUGCCAUGGUCAAUCGUUUUGAGUUUAGAUAUUCCAACAGGUGUGCAGUGGGAUCUCACUAUGGUUUCAAUUUGCAUUUCCCUAACAAAUGAUCCUGAGCCUCUUCUAUGUGCUGCUUUGCCAUCUGGUUAUCUUAUUUGGUGACACAUCUAGUAAAAUCUUUUGCUCAUUUUGGGCAGUUGUUACCUUAGUAUUGAGUUUUGACAGUCCUUUUUAUAUUCUAGAUACGUCCUUUAUUAGAUAUCCAUUUUGCAAAGCCUGUAACUUGUCUUUUUAUUUUUUUAACAGUAUCUUUCAAAAACAGAAGUUCUCAAUGUUGAUGAAGCUCAGUUUAUCAAGUUUUUCCUUUAUGUAUUGUGUUUUUGGUAUUGUGUCUAAGACAUCUUUGCCUGAGAUGAGAAGUUGUAUGGUUUAAGGUUUUACACUUAGGCCUGUGGUCCAUUUUGAGUUUGUUUUUGUACACAGUGUAAAGUAUGAAUUAAAGUUUGGUUUAUUUUUUGCAUAUAGAUAUUCAAUUAUUCCAGCACCAUUUGUUGACAGGCUAUUGGUAUGGUCUAAAAGUUUGUACCCUCUGCAGAUUUGUAUGUAGAGAUCCUAAUCCCCGAGGUGAUUGUAUUAGGAGGUGGGGUGUUUGGGGAUCUUAUUAAGUCAUGAGGGCAGAGCCUUCAUGAAUGCCAUUAGUGCCCUUAUAAAAGAGCCUCAGAGACCUGCCUUGUCCGUUCCACAUUGGGAGGACACAGUGAGAAGACUGUGAGUCUAUGAGGAAGCAGAGCCCUGGCCAGACACCGAAUCUGCUGCCACCUUGAUCCUGGACUUCUCAGCCUCCAGAACUGUGAGAAAUACAUUUAUGUUGUUUAGAAGGGUACAGAUUAUGGUAUUUGAUCAUAGCAGCCUGAGUGGACUCAGACAACCAUCCUUUCUCAACUGAAUCGAUGUUGCACAUUUGUUGAAAAUCAAUCGUCCAUAUAUGUGUAGAUCUAUUUCUGGACUGUGUAUUCUGUUUCAUUGAUCUAGUCUACCUUUGUGCCAAUGCUAUACAGUUUUGAUUACUAAAGAUUAUAAGUUUUAGAAUCAGCUAGUGUAAACAGUGAAAAUCACUGAGAGUUCAGAAGUUAAAGUUGUACUGCGGUUUCAAAUAAGGUACUUAAUGGUCCUUUUUCAUCAUUCAGCAUGAAUAUCCCCUACGUAUCUCUGAAGGUUGAUUUUGUUCUUUAUUUUAAGAAUAAAAUAACGUUGUGAACAGCU